CCCUUAGAUGUCCUGGGCCGCACGCGCGUUACACCGAUGCAUUCAACGAGCUUAUAGCCUUGGCCGAGAGGCCUGGGCAAUCUUGUUAACGUGCAUCGUGAUAGGGAUAGAUUAUUGAAAUUAUUAAUCUUGAACGAGGAAUUCCUAGUAAACGCAGAUCAUCAAUCUGCAUUGAUUACGUCCCUGCCCUUUGUACACACCGCCCGUCGCACCUACCGAUUGGAUGGUCCGGUGAAGCCUCGGGAUUGUGGUUCUUGCCGCUUUAUUGUGGCGUGACCGCGAGAACUUGUCUAAACCUUAUCAUCUAGAGGAAGGUGAAGUCGUAACA
Molecule: ribosomal RNA, 328 nt
Filed under: uncultured eukaryote
Lineage: Eukaryota
Description: partial 18S ribosomal RNA
Rfam family: Eukaryotic small subunit ribosomal RNA
Source: RNAcentral